AAAGGGCUCGACUUAUAGGAGACGUAAAGGGUUGCAUGCCGAGCGGUGUGGGCCUGCUGCGUUAGUGAGGCUUACAAAAAACUAAACGCAACACCACUAUUUGCUGGUGUAAGUAACCCAUCUCCAUGGGUUACUCCUUUUAGUAUGGCAGUAAUGCCACACUAAAAGUGACCUUUAUGCUUUUUGUCUCAGGGGGCAUAAGGGUUCGGUUUUGAGGCUAAGGGUAAGCUUUUUAUCUUGGGGGUUUACCACGAAAACUUACAAGAUUGCUUCUUGGUAGAUCUUGUCUUUCAGAGCUACCAAGAAAAAGAUAAAAGAAAGAAUAAGCAUGUAGUAGCUUUUUAUUAACCCUGUAAGGACGCGGGUUCGAUUCUUGCA
This 378-nucleotide transfer-messenger RNA is filed under the name Candidatus Omnitrophota bacterium. It matches the Rfam family "transfer-messenger RNA". From Rfam's summary of the family: Bacterial tmRNA, also known as 10Sa RNA or SsrA, is named for its dual tRNA and mRNA-like properties. Its role is to liberate the mRNA from a stalled ribosome. Lineage: Bacteria; Pseudomonadati; Candidatus Omnitrophota. The record is from RNAcentral.